AUCCAGCUGAAGAGUCACAAAUAGGACGAAACGCGCGUCCUGGAU
RNAcentral lists this non-coding RNA (45 nucleotides) under Schistosoma margrebowiei. The record is from RNAcentral. Lineage: Eukaryota; Metazoa; Platyhelminthes; Trematoda; Strigeidida; Schistosomatidae.